RNAcentral lists this ribosomal RNA (792 nucleotides) under uncultured archaeon Ar21. RNAcentral describes it as "bacterial SSU rRNA". It matches the Rfam family "Archaeal small subunit ribosomal RNA", at positions 85 to 879 of the family's 1478-position model. The record is from RNAcentral.
ACUGCUCAGUAACACGUGGAUAACGUGCCCUUAAGAGGAGGAUAAUCUCGGGAAACUGAGGAUAAUACUCCAUAGUUCAUGGAAUCUGGAAUGAUCCAUGGAUGAAAGUUCCGGCGCUUAAGGAUCGGUCUGCGGCCUAUCAGGUCGUAGUGGGUGUAACGUACCUACUAGCCUAUGACGGGUAUGGGCCUUGAGAGAGGGAGCCCAGAGUUGGAUUCUGAGACACGAAUCCAGGCCCUACGGGGCGCAGCAGUCGCGAAAACUUCACAAUGGGGGCAACCCCGAUGAGGGAAUUCCUAAUGCUAGCACAUUUGUGUUAGCUUUUCUUUAGCGUAGAUAACUAGAGGAAUAAGGGCUGGGAAAGACGGGUGCCAGCCGCCGCGGUAAUACCUGCAGCCCAAGUGGUGGUCGAGUUUAUUGAGUCUAAAACGUUCGUAGCCGGUUCGGUAAAUCUUUGGGUAAAUCGGGGGGCUUAACCUUCCGACUUCCGAGGAGACUGCCGAACUUGGGACCGGGAGAGGCUAGAGGUACUUCUGGGGUAGGGGUAAAAUCCUGUAAUCCUAGAAGGACCACCGGUGGCGAAGGCGUCUAGCUAGAACGGAUCCGACGGUGAGGGACGAAGCCCUGGGUCGCAAACGGGAUUAGAUACCCCGGUAGUCCAGGGUGUAAACGCUGCAGACUUGGUGUUGGGGGCCCUUUGGGGGCAUUCAGUGCCGGAGAGAAGUUGUUAAGUCUGCUACUUGGGGAGUACGUCCGCAAGGAUGAAACUUAAAAGAAUUGGCGGGGGAGCAC